AUCGCUUCUCGGUCUUUUGGCUAAGAUCAAGUGUAGUAUGUAAUAGUCUUUGAAAUUAGUUUGUCUCAUUUAAAGAUUUCCGUGUGGUGACAAUUUUCUUGUAAAUUUUAACGACUGUAUUCAAUCCUAU
This 130-nucleotide small nuclear RNA is filed under the name Myotis davidii. RNAcentral describes it as "U2 spliceosomal RNA". It matches the Rfam family "U2 spliceosomal RNA". From Rfam's summary of the family: U2 is a small nuclear RNA (snRNA) component of the spliceosome (involved in pre-mRNA splicing). Complementary binding between U2 snRNA (in an area lying towards the 5' end but 3' to hairpin I) and the branchpoint sequence (BPS) of the intron results the bulging out of an unpaired adenosine, on the BPS, which initiates a nucleophilic attack at the intronic 5' splice site, thus starting the first of two transesterification reactions that mediate splicing. The record is from Rfam by way of RNAcentral. Lineage: Eukaryota; Metazoa; Chordata; Mammalia; Chiroptera; Vespertilionidae.